RNAcentral lists this ribosomal RNA (254 nucleotides) under uncultured bacterium. RNAcentral describes it as "partial 16S ribosomal RNA". It matches the Rfam family "Bacterial small subunit ribosomal RNA", at positions 524 to 776 of the family's 1533-position model. The record is from RNAcentral.
UACGUAGGAGGCGAGCGUUGUCCGGAGUUCCUGGGCGUAACUGGUGCGCAGGCGGCGGUUCUCGUGGCUAGAUGAAAUCUCCUGGCUUACCUGGGAGAGUGGUAGCCAGACGGGAUCGCUUGAGGGUCGGAGAGGGGCGUGGAAUUCCGGGUGGAGCGGUGAAAUGCGUAGAGAUCCGGAGGAACACCGACGGCGAAGGCAGUGUCCUGGCGAGUGACUGACGCUGAGGUGCGAAAGCUAGGGGAGCGAACGGG